GGAAUUCUAUCAUUAUUACUUGACAAGUACGUAUUUUUUUGAUUUUCCCUAAUAAUUUUUUUUAUUAUCUGUUAUCUUAUCAACUUUUCAUGUCAAAUUUUGAUUGUGAAGAAGGAAGCUGUGUCCAACCUAUUAACAACUGAAUUUAUUCAAGAAAACUCUUCCCUUGGAACCACGUGCAUUAGACUAGAACUAAGAACACAUUUAAGCUCAUGGUUUUAAGUAACGGCUGUUAAAUCUUACAGCAACUAUUACAGCAGCAUCGGAGGCCACCGUUACAGUUUACAUAUUAAGUAUCCUAACAGUGUCAUUAUAAAAUAGGAAGAAUGACCUCAAGUAUUUGGUAGUUUGAUCAAUAAACUAUUCAAAUUUUUGCGCACACAUACUUAUCUAACUGAUACUAACUGUUGUUUCCUAUUAUUAUGGGAAGUAAUUUUCCAUUCAUCAAUUAUAUGAUGGACCAUCUAAGGAUAUAUUUGGCCUACAAUCACAUAAUCAGAUAUGUUUCCAAUACAACUUCUGGUAUUGUCAUUCCCAGUAUUGUAAUUCAUUCAUCUCACUUAUGAUGUUAAUCAAGUGCGCUGAGUCAGCUGUCUUGAUAAUCCUAUUUCUGCCACACCGGUCACAUGCACUUCCUACCUUGCACGGCCUACCAAUUUAGUUCACACAAUUCAUAUUCUCCAAGUAAUGCUCUAUACCACUAGUAAACAUGCAUGCUGGAAAAUAUAUGACGGUAAAUAGAAAAUGAUAGGAAAUAUGAAAAAAUAAAUUAGUAAGAAUAACUCCUCUUUAAAAUUCUUAAAAUUCCAUGUUUCGUAAGUAGUAAAAUGUAAAUUCUUUUAAGAUGGAUUGUUAAUAGAGAAAACUUAUUUGGUAAACAUGGAAAAUUCCCUAGAAUCCUAUGUAGUCUUGCAUUUUCCAAAUCACCUUUUUGAUCAAGAUUAUCUCAACUCAUUUUUAAUUUGAUUGGACAAGAAAGGUUAUCAAUGAGGAUCCAUGAUACAUGUAAAGUAAAUUUCUUAUCUUGGGUACUGAAAAGAGAUUAUUGGUAUUACCUAAGGGCAUAAAAAUUAAUAUUUUGGGUUUUUCAAGAUUAAAUGGCCAGCAUUUUGCGGGGAAUAAAUGACAAAAAAUCAAAAGAUAAUAUUCCUGAAUUUCAGAAUUCUCUUUUGUAAUAUAGCAUAGAUAUUUACGUAUGACAAACUUGACUAGUCUGUUUGAUAAGACCAAGUCAAGUGAUAUCAAAUAAUUCUGUUUCUAUUGCAUGAGGAGCUAUGAACUGACUGUGAAUUGGAUGGCUGUUAAACGAAAACAAGCAAUAAACAAUGUGGCGUGGAAGGUGUUGCAAACCAUCAAUCAACGAUGCAAAAGAAAUCAUAUGUGUGAUAGUUUGAAAUCCAGCAAAUAAAAAUUUUAUGAUAGUCGAAACUGGCAGAGGUUGAGAGCUGCAUUUUAGUGGGGUAAAAUUGUUAUCUGCUUUUUGAUUUUUUGUUAUGUUCUUUUUAUUAUCCUGUAUGCUAUGUGCUAGAUUUUCACAAUGUAGGACUUUGACAAAGUUUAUCAAGUACUUUCUAAAAGUUAACUGGACCUGUUUUAAUCUUUGUAUUUCAUCGCAAAUUCUACCGAUCUCACAUAGUUUUAUUCUUUGUUUGCUAGUUCUUGUAAACUAUACAAGGAUGCUAGAAACUAUGUGGAUGUUCUUUCUCCUUUCCAUAGAGGGAAAUAAAUGGCAUGGAAACUGCCAAGUGAUCUCCUCUUAUUCUACUAAUUCCUUCUUUAAGUAGGAAAUGGCAUUGGAUAGAAGAGAAGUAUCAGACUCUCAUUUCUUGCAUUGAACCUCUUGAAGCUCACAUUAAGCCUAAUGUAAGGUCAAGCAUAAAAUGUAAUAAAUUGAAGAAGCUAGGUUGAUUUUUUAGUCUAGCCUUUUUUUCCCUUAAGUUUUAUAUUUCCACUUAAAAGGAAAGGCACUCAUAUCACUUCUUUGUCCUAGUUUUUGUGCUAGAUCUGCGUUUUCUUCAAAUGCUAACUUUCGCAUAUUUAUUAUUUAGCUUCAGUUUAUAUUUUUAGGUUUAAGAUUAUUUGAAUAACAAUUUCUUGGUGCAGUUAGAACAAUAGCAGUACAUGUCACACCCCAAAACUAGGACAUAACACGGCCAUGUUAUCGAGGGGUACAACCUAAUAUAACAUGAAGCCAACAUUACAUUUAGCUUUCAAAUCCAUCUCAAACAAAAUAUAAUAAAUUAAGUCCAAUUUCAUUAUUCAUUAAAUGCAACCAAUGUUGGUUCAAAGCAUCUAAAUCCAAACAUAAAUACCAACCCAUAAUUCUCAAUAUUCAAAAAAUCAUCAACUACAAAUUCAUAAUUAAUUAAAAUACUAAAAUUUUUUUAUAAAAUCGCUAAGCUUGCUAGCACAACUUAAGGCCAGGACCAUCCUUCGUCCCUACUGACCCUAUUCGUCUGAAGAGAGAAAAAUAAAAAUAGAGAUAUAUGAGCGACACAACUCUAUCUUACCAGAUCAAGCAUAAGUUUUUGCAUGAAUCGAUGCAUCAUAAUGUGAAAAUAACAAUUAUUGCAAGAUAGAACAUUUCAUAGUUUCAUAUGAUAAAGUAAGUUAUAAAGUCAAUCAUGCAUGCAAUGUCAUCAAUAUGUCAUAAACAGGGUUUCAGGUGUACAGUAUAAAUAAAAUUAUAAAUCAUUUACCAUUUAACCAUAUCAUUGAUCAAAUUACUUCUCUUAGACUAAAUGCUAAGGUCACUAUUAUAUCUAUAACAGGGCCGUAAUCGACAAACGCCAACUACUAUUAUCCGUUGGCAGGGUUGUAUGCUAACUAUUAUUAUCCACUGGCAGGGUCGUAUGCCAACUACUUUUACUCGCUGACAGGGUUGUAUGUCAACUACUAUUACCCACCGGCAGGGUCGUAUGGAACUGAAUGUUGAUUUACCCCACUUUUUGGGGUGAUACAUAGCUAUCUGAGAUCCUUUUUAUCAUAGUUCUUAAAAUAAUUUUUUUCUUAAGUCACAUUUCUCCAAAUCAUAUACGAAUAAAAUACUAAAUGGCUUUAUAGAGUCCGUAGUCUAUAAAUAAACUUUUAACAAUAGAUUAAUUAUGAAAUUAUUCUUUUCAUAACAAAAAUAUAAAUUUCGUAAAUAUAUGAAGUUCAUAUUUCAUAAACAAGUCAUUAAGCCUAAAAUAUGAAGGGAACUAUUAUUUUGCAAUAAAUCAUGUGUUUCAUAAUAUCGUAUACUUGAUCAUUGAUUUUAAGAAAACAUGAUAUCAUCAAUAUUUAAUACUAGUUUUGUAUUUUCAUAAUACUAGAAAAUAAGUAAAAAAUUUGAAAAUUAAUAAAGAUUGUUAGGGUUACUUACAAGUUCGAAAAUUAGUAAGGAGUAUAGUACUUACUUACCUCUUCCACCUUAGACCUUCAAACUUCACCAAGCAAACUUGUUAAACUUAUUUAAAAAUAUUAAGAGUAAAAUUAAUUUUCAUUCGAUAGUUUUAAUAGUAUUGAAAUAACAAGACAAAGAGAACGAUUAGUCGGAUGACGGUAGCCUGGUUAGGUCAGGUCCAAGCAACCCGAUCAAUGAAUCAUGGGGUACAGACUCGAUUAGGCUAAAGCUUUGAUAGGAUUCAUCAAUAUUGGAUUUUAUAGGCACUUAAUAGGGUUGGGAUGACCGGUCUCGCGGGCUGCCUAGGCACCAGGGCAGAUCAAGGCCAUUUGCAGGGGUCAACUCAAGUCCAUAGGAUAGGGAGAUAGGACUCGGUUCAUGGAUCCAUGGGUCUUUUUAGAAAGAGAAAGAGGAAGAUGAGAGAGAAAGCAUAGAGAGAAAAUAUGAGAGAGAAAGAGAGGGAUGGUUUGUACCAAAAAAAGAGAGAGAGGGAUGGUUCUCUCUCCUCUUCCUCCCCUUCUUCUUUUCUUCUUUCUUUCUUUUUCUUGGCAAAAUAAAGGAUGAAGAAGGCUUUGUCUGGUGGCUGACAUGGUGGUCUAGCAAGGUGGCAGCAGGCGGUGGAGACAUGAGGCGAAGGGCGGUCGGCCGGCCAAAAUCAACAAAAAUAGGGGUUCCGAUCCCUUAAACCGUCGGCCGGAGUUUCGGCCAUUGCUUCUACUCAUUAUGGAAAGUCGAGGGAAGACUCCGGCGAUAAGCAUCAGCAACAAACAACAACUGAAAAAAGAAAAGAAAGGCAUUACCCUUUUUGGCUAAAAUCCGGCGAUCACUAGCCGGAAUCGAAGCUCCAAACAAUCCGGAAGGAAGAGGAGAGGAAUAGCUCGACAAUGGUAGGUUUCUUACUGGCCGCACGGAUGGUGCAAAGCCAAUCGGCGUUCGGAGAAGAAAACAAGAAAGUCCCUGGUGAAGAGUUCCGAUUGAGGUUGGACCUCCAGUGGGGGUGAGAGAGGACUCAAGGAAGGCCUCUAAAUAGGCCCGGGAUGACCGGAAUCCGAACCGGAGUCGGAUUUCCUCUGGUGAGAUCGGGAGGAAGAAGACUCCCAUCGGUAGUCUUCUCUCCAGGCACGUGUCAAUUUCAUCUUUUUUUUUUUGUUUGUUUUUGGGCCAGAUUCAACAAGGCUGGUCAAAUGGACCAAAGCCCAAUUCACUUAAAGGGCCGGGUAUCACAGUACCUAUUUUAAAAACUAAGGUGACACCUUCUCUAUUUGACCUCUAUAACCAUAUUCUCUAGUUAUGAAACUUUCAGCAGCAGACCCACAUUCUUGGGUAACAAAUGCUAAUUCUUUUGUUUGUAUGACUGUGACUAACAGAUAUAUUUGUUUGAAAGAUCAAAGUAUUUGCAAGAUGUCUUGAUUUUCGAUCUGGAUAGUGAUUUUACCCUUACCUUUUGCACAAGUCUGUAAUUUCGAGAAGACGAAUUUUUAAGUCAAGUUGUUUUCAUAUCUGCUUCAAAAGAAAGUUGAUUGCUGUCUAUUUCUGGAUAAUUGUUGGUGAAUGAGAUCAAGCGACAUUUCCUGUUCCAUCCUUUUAGUUUGGAGCAUUUGUGCUGGAGGCAUUCUUCACUGAAAUGGAGCUUGAAACAACCAGUGGAUCUGAAGAAGACUUGGUUUGUAUAUACUUAAAAUUAUUAUGAGCCUCCGAAGAAAAAUGGAAGCAAAAAACUUCUAUUUGUGCCAGCCACCUUUCCUAUUAGAGACUAAAAUGCUUGGCUUGUCAGACAGACAGAACAACACAACAAAUUAUCACCUAAGGCCUUAUCAAAUUAGUUACGACUUAUUCUAUCAAAUUCAAAAUAUAUGCUUACCUCAUGUUAAUACACAUCACAAAAAUAGAAUCUAGAACUGCGUUUGCUCAAAUAUUUCCAAUACGUGAAACAUGUAAAGCAUGUAUACUGAUUCUAACCUGCAUAGUUCCAUGGUUUUAGAUGCAUAAUAUACAAGCGCACAAGUGGUCCCAAAUAUUUUUCUUUUGUCCUUGGUAAGAAAGAGUUGUCAGCCUUCUAUAACAGAAAAAUUAUCUUGGUUAGUUACUUCUUUUGGGAGAAAUGUCUUGUUGGUCACUUUUAUUUUAUGUUUAUGUGUCAGAUGUCAUCAUCCACUACAUUUUGAGUAUGUUUUUGUUGUGGCUGUCAGCUGGAUGCUAAGCUUUAUAAACUGAUGUUGAAUUGCUGGUCAAAUUAGCUACAACUCUAGUGGGAUUGCUAUGCAGACCAUUUAAGCCAAGCGACUAGGGAGAAACCUAUGGUAACAUACUUGGAAAGUAUUUAGAUGACAAGGGAAGAAAGCAGGGUGAUGUUCAGAGAACUGUAAGUAUUUCAAGAUACAAAUUAUAAAAUAAAGAGCUAAACUAUAUCAUAUUAUCCUCAUUAUCCAUGAAACAUUUAAAGUGAAAAAACCAUUCUCAUAGAACAUAUUAUCAUAAUGCCAUUCUUUGCUGAAAAAAGGAAAAUUAUUAAUUUUAAUUGAAAUUACCAUAAUUUUUUUCUCUUUGAAAAAAUAUUACAAAUUGUUUCCUCCUGAAAAUAUAUCAGCCAGUGGAGUUGUUCAGUAACUAUGCUAAAAGGAAACUAAGCUUUUUUUUGUUCUUGCAUUCAUGUUAUGUCGGAGCAUGAUGAAACCAUCAAUGCAAAGUUCUUGCUAGCAGUGUAUCUCCACUACCCAUUGGUGGCAUACUACGUGGGUCGUAUUAUUUAGUGAUAUAACACCAUGCAUGAUCUCUCAUGCUUGAAGUCAAUCUACCUUUCAACAACCUGUAUGAUAGAUAAUAAGACUUUUUUGGGGGGUUUCAUAAGAGCAGUACCAUAUAGUAACGUUUUUGAUCUCAUGUUUAUUCUUUGCAGCCCAUGCAGUUUAAAUAGCUUCUAUAAUAGUUUGUUGAGUGGAACAGUAGGAUUUUACUUAUAGAACGUCUUUUUCUUUUCUUUUUUGUUUGUCUAUUCAGAUGGAAAGAUCAAUGCACAAGAUGUUUUAUACAACUUUAUUUGGGUCUUAACAGAUAAGUUGUCAUGGUUAUUUAUUAUUUAGGGCUUAUAGAUACCAUUCGUCCCUUAUUGCUAUGUCAUCACCUUUACAAGCACAAGAUGUUGAUGUAAUGUGUUUUCUGUUGUUUUCUAAUUGAACUGCUUAUUCUGUAACAUAAAUUGGCAUACUUUUCCUCUCCCUUUUCCAUUUUCUAUGUACACCCGAAUUGGUCUCUGUGAAGCAUUUACUUUCUUGUUCCAGGAUGCACCUUAAAAGGACCGACACUGAUGUGUUGGGUAACAAUCUGAUACUUGAUUUAUGGUGAAGAUGGAUUAGUUUAUGUUCAGCAAACAUGACCAUCCUUGUUAUAUUGUAAUGCAGUGUGACUACAAGGAGUCUUACAGUAGACAUUCUUCUUCAUCACAUGAGUACUGAACUAUGUCAAACUCAAAGAUGUAAAGCAUAGUUUUACCUCUCCAGGAUAAUAACCUUUUCCUCUAUGUUAAUUUUUUCUAUUUCAUUGAUUCAAUUAAAUCAUCUGGAUAUAAUCUGAAAAAUUAUGUGAUGUAAUUUUCUUUGUAUAUGCUAGUCAUCAGGCAGUGUUUUCUGUUUUAUUGUGGUAAAUGUGUGUUACACCUUUUUUUUGCAUGUAUGUUUUCCUGAUUUAUUUUAGACAGUUGUACAUGUUUUGUUAUUUGUACAGUUUCUCUGUUUUUUUUUUUGUUGUUGUUGUUUGGGUUGGGUUGGGGGCGGUUGCGAAGAGCGUUGUUCACCAGAGUAAAUAUAUGCUUAGCAGUUCCCUUAUUGCCUUAUUGUGGACACAAGGAGAAACACGUGGCAAGUAUGAAUCUGCCAGUAUACAUUACUGGCAUUGGCUUUGUGCUGAAGUAUGCACAGUGUUUGUCCAUUAAGAAGGCGAAAGUAUGCCAAAGGGACACUGUGCACAAAAUCAGCAAGCUGAAGAGAGAUAAAGGAUGUGCAUAGUGUCCCGGUAAGGUUGCAAGGAUUCACAUGUAUCCUGGUUGUUGAUGUAUUGGUAUGAUCACCAUGAAGUGAAUUGUCAGCAUAGGCAUGAGUAGAGUCCAAAUGACUUUUCUUUUUAAUAUUUGAUGCCCAAGGUAGACAUGUCACUAUUUGGAAAUACUUGGAGUUAAUUUACCCCAGAAAAAAAAGAAAAUACUUGGAGUUAACAGUGGAUUGGAAUGGUUGGCGGCCCAUGGGUUAGAAUUUGUGUGGUUUCACUGAAGCCCCCCUUUGGCAUAUCUUAAAAGCUAAGCUUAUAAAAUAUUUUUCCUUUAGAGAUGCUAUAGACAAACAGUAAUUCUGGAAUUUUGUUAUUUAGAUUUAAUCAGCUUUUUCUAAAAAAUUGGCCACUGAACCAUAGGAUAUUAUCUUACAAUUACUUUUCAUGUGGUAUGCUGGUCCACAGGGAAAGCAACGAGAACCAAAGGUGUUGAAUAUCACUUCAUGGAGGGGUUAGAGGCAACAUCGCCUCAGUAUUGGACCGCAUAUAUCAGGCGAUGUGGAGCAGAUUAGACAUGAAUCUGUGGUCGUCUUUUGAGAUGCGAUGUAAAGUAGAAUAUGCUUCUGUUUGUUUUUUCUUUUUGUCUGGUUUCUUUGUUCAAAAGGUAUCAUUUUUUUAAAAAAAAUUGUUCUGGAGAAUAUUUGGGCUAGUAUGUCUAUGGAUAUGGUUAGCACUUAAGCACUGCUCGGUAAUAACUGCCUAAGACUACUAUUAUCAUUAUUGCAAAGUUGUGCACUUACUGAAACCCUAUUUUUUUCCUUCAUUUUUGCAUAAUGUACAUCUCCGGCAUCUGAAACCUUAUUUAAGAAGCAGCCCCCUGCUGCAUGAUAUCAAGGGGCAGACAGACUGCAUCAAGGUUCUAAGAGAAAAAUGAAGACCAUGAGAGGGCAGGUUCUCCUCCAUAUUCCAGCAAAGAAGGCAUGGGAAAUUUUUAGAAAUAACGGGAUCCUAAGCAAGUUAAAUCCAAACAUGCUUGCUAGUGCUGAAUACCUUCAAGGAGAUGGCAGCCCUGGGAGCUUAAGGCUCUUUAAAUUGGGACCUGGUAAAUCCUGAAUCCCCCAUUUAUAUUCUCAUCUAAUUUCUUAUGGAUGACCAGCUGCACUUGCUUCGUGCCAUCUUUACAAUGUUGUCAUCUUUGUUGUAAAUUACGGCAUGAGUGCCUGCAUGAAUUUGUCUUGAACUGAUAUUAAUUUCUAUUACUUGAGAUUGUUUAUCUAAA
Molecule: non-coding RNA, 8645 nt
Organism: Phoenix dactylifera (date palm)
Lineage: Eukaryota; Viridiplantae; Streptophyta; Magnoliopsida; Arecales; Arecaceae
Source: RefSeq, a predicted model, not a curated record